GACACAGAUAGGGGAGAGACCCGCUGUCUUCGACCGGGCACCGAAGGGGCAAGCCUCGCUGGACAGUGCCUGUGCGAGGCGAAACUCUCAGGUCAAAGGACCCUAUCUGGCCG
RNAcentral lists this non-coding RNA (113 nucleotides) under Chloroflexota bacterium. Its description in RNAcentral is "Chloroflexi bacterium Glycine sequence". It matches the Rfam family "Glycine riboswitch aptamer". Rfam says of the family: This family represents the bacterial glycine riboswitch. Glycine riboswitches usually consist of two metabolite-binding aptamers domains with similar structures in tandem. The record is from RNAcentral. Lineage: Bacteria; Bacillati; Chloroflexota.